This 375-nucleotide ribosomal RNA is filed under the name uncultured bacterium. RNAcentral describes it as "bacterial SSU rRNA". It matches the Rfam family "Bacterial small subunit ribosomal RNA", at positions 524 to 898 of the family's 1533-position model. The record is from RNAcentral.
UACGGAGGGUGCAAGCGUUAAUCGGAAUUACUGGGCGUAAAGCGCACGCAGGCGGUCUGUCAAGUCGGAUGUGAAAUCCCCGGGCUCAACCUGGGAACUGCAUCCGAAACUGGCAGGCUAGAGUCUUGUAGAGGGGGGUAGAAUUCCAGGUGUAGCGGUGAAAUGCGUAGAGAUCUGGAGGAAUACCGGUGGCGAAGGCGGCCCACUGGACAAAGACUGACGCUCAGGUGCGAAAGCGUGGGGAGCAAACAGGAUUAGAUACCCUGGUAGUCCACGCCGUAAAGGAUGUGGACUGGGAGGUGGUGCCCUUGAGGCGUGGCUUCCGGAGCUAACGCGUUAAGUCGACCGCCUGGGGAGUACGGCCGCAAGGUUAAA